GGGGCUGUGCUGGAUUAAGUGUGCAUUGCAUGAAUCAUCUCUGCUUUUGGCACCAUUGGGUUUUUUGGCACCAUUGGGCUUUCUCCAUCCCCUCCCAGAGGUGGGCUGCCGUAUCCAUUUCUGGUGGCUUUCCCUCCUGCUGGUGGCUUGCAUUUCUCCUCGGCCUCCUCUCCUGGCACAAGCCUCUCCUGCUGCGGCCAAGAGCUCGCUGCGGUCAGUACGUGCUGGAAGGGGGUGGAUGAGGCUGAGUCAGGCUGUCAUCCUCCUCCUGCCUCUUUGGAAGUUUUUUCUUGCAAAAGGUUUUUAACAGAUUGACAUAUCUGGGUUUUCUGCUUUGUUCUCCCUUCCUCCCUCCCUAGGCACUUGCACCAAGACACACGAGUCAUCAGUAGCCCCAGCGAAAGAUGCACUACCAUCGGCGGCCAGAUGGAAGGUUAUAGUAGCACCUCGUAAUUAUGGAGUCAAGAUCUGCGCCCUGUCCUACCAGAAGGAGAAAAAAAUAAAGAUAGGAAGCUUCUCCUCUUUGUGCCUGUUCGCUUGGUACACGGCUUCUCUCUCUGCGGACAAGUCUGCAGCGAUUUCUCCCACAGACUUACUUCCCUGAAGCACUGGGUAUGGGAGGGGACUGUCUGGAAGCACUGCUUUUUAUAAUUUAUAUCUUGCUAACAGCAUGCUAGGUACUAUAUUCCAAAGAGCUCAAGGAUCUUAGGUGAUGAUAUGCGCAGGUAAAAAAAAAAAUAAUAAUAAUAAAGGAUCAUGCUGGAUUAUAACCUGCCAUAAAAUCUGGACAGAGUGCAUGCAAGGUGGAUGGUCUAAAAGCAGACCCAAGGAGACACGAGGUCCCGAUUAGGCAUACCUAAAAGCAUUUUUUCAAGUUUUAAUAUCUGUACUUCUAAGGUAUUGCAUUUCAUCUUGCUCAGAUUUGAAAUGGCUUCCCCAGGCUUGUCAGCAGGAAAAGGGGAAGGAGCGUACUCCCCUCGAAGUCUGGAACUGAAGUCUGGUUUUCUUCAGGUUUCAGACCAGAUCCAGCUUUGCUUUGGGAAUGCGAGCCGCGCUGGCCUUUUCGUCACACCUCGGGGCGCUGAGUGAAUUCAAGCUGCAGCAACUUGACUUUUGGGGCAGGUGGGGAAGUUGCAGGUUUAUGGUGAGCAGAAGAGGUGGUGAAGUGUUUUACAGCAGCUUUUGCCCCAGCCCAGAAAUGAAGCCACCUCCUCUCAUCCCCCUGGUGAGGAAUUGGCUGCUCGGGAAUUUAAGGAGUGUGACAUCCAGGUCUGGAAGUCAGUCACAGCUUUGGCCCUUCUCAGAUUCAAAAACUGUCCACCUAAUCUAAAUCCAGCACAUCUGGCACAAGGGCGAGCCGCCAGCCAGAUAGGUGUGAAACCAUUCACCGAAAAUAGCCGAGCACCUAAGGGGCCGGGAGGUGAUGAGGAGCCUUCUGAACCAUCACUGCUGCAGGGUACCAGCCUGCUGUUUGCAUCCACUUUGGAGCAAAGUUAAAAAGGCUAAUUAACACCUCCGUCACCGGGACCUUCAGACCCAUCCCUUCAGCGUGCCCUCGAAACCAGCUGGGAUCUGUGGCUUGGCCCCAGCUGAGAGGGAGCAAACUCCUGAGAUCGCCUGGCUCAGUGCAAAGUCACUCACCUGCAGCUCUGCGUGGUCCAUCCCUGGCCUCACUGUGCCACAUAUAACCGGCCAGGCAGCUUGCUUUUAUUUCCCAAUACCAUACAGAGAGUGCUAGCCUCAGUAUCUUUGCUCUCAGAAUUAAAUCAGCCUCCCAGCCCGUGCUGCGUUGCCGCUAGGCCCUCAUUUGCCUGACCGGGUGGCACGGCACAUCUUUGGGAACGUGUUGGCUCCGUGAGAGCCAGAUUCCUUUUCUCAAUGGAAAAUUUUAAGCUAUUCCCACCAGUGACAUCACGGCGUUCUCCACUCCCACAGCCACAAAGGCGCAUAUUGAUGGGCAUGACAUUUCCCUUUAAUGCUUUCAUUGUUUCCAGCAUUUCGUUUGGGCUGUUGCUUGAAGCCAAAAAAACAAGACAAAAGGCAAAGUAUGUUAAAGGGAGACCCGGGCUGCGUGCAAAAAUGUCGCACGAGAGAAUCUCUGACUCCAGGCAAUUUUGGGGGAAUUUGCUUUCCAUGGGGCUUCUCCCGAGUGAUUUAGGAUAACUGGAACUGCCACCUCCUUCCUCUGACUUGCUUCAGGCUCGUGCUUGGGCAUUGCUGCGCUACGCGGGGAUCUGGCACGGGCUUUCAGAGCCUAUUUUAAAAGAUUUGUGUCAGCUGCAUCGAAGAGCAAACUAAUGGGAGCUCCUGAACCACGCCAAGCUUGCCUUGUGGACUCCUCAGGACUGGGACCCUGCAUCCUCAAGGGACGUUUGUGCAUUUGGUGCAGGGCAGAAAGGAGAAGGGGAGCGGUGACCUUAGCACCACGUACCUUACUAAAGAGAUAGCAAGGCUCGGAGCGGACUUUGAUUUUGCCUCUUGCAGUAUCGAUCCGAGUUCCGUAUUGUUGGCCUUUCAGGGAAAUUCAGGGCAGGGUUGGGCACUGAGUUUCCUGAGCACAUUAGUCAUCAGAAAGGAGGGAGCUGAAGAGUGUGGCUGGUGGGGGUGAGCUCUGGGGCUGUGUGUGAGGAUCUUUGCAAGACCCUCAGCACUUUCAAGCUGCAGCUCCUUCAACAGCGAGGACUGACUCAGAAGUUAAAUCAAACCUCUGGCUGCGCAGAGUCCCCUGCACUUUACGUGGAACACUUACCUGGGCUGAGACACUGCUGCAGGGGACAACCUGUUUCCUUUUGCCUGUUACCAGCAUGGAAGGGGACAAGUUAGUUACUGAAUUGUCUGGGGAAUGGGAUGGAGGUCAGGAAAGCAUGGUGUGCCAGAAAAUGGGAGAGAGGUCUGGGGAGAGGGCUCACGUGAGAGGGUUCGAUGGGAGAUGAGGACCUGGCAGCAAGGUGAGCUGAGGCUGGGCCAAGCCCUGCUGAAAAUGGCCUUUGUUACUUGGCAGCAGCAGCCCCAAAUGCCCUUUUCAUUUUCCUUCUUCCAUGGAAUUACUUCAGACAAACAGAACUGAACCAAAACAGCCGUGCCUUUCACCACGGGAGCUCUCACGUCCAGGGUCAGCAGGGAGGGACGGCUUGUGUCUGCCCACAUGCAGGUUCUGGUGGGUCAUGAUCCUUCCUGAGCCCUGGAGAAGGCUGUGGAUAUUUUAAUCAUAAAUUCCAACCCCGGACAAUUUCAUUUGCACCAUUAGCCAUGCUUUGUCCCGGCACAAAGCAGCUCCUCUGGAGUGAGGCUGCACGGGCACGAGUUACAGCGAUGGCUGGGGACGGUGCCUGGGGCUUUCCACCUGCCCCACUGCUGUGUAGCAGCUGAGAGGAGCCUCCAAAACCAACUUAAUAAGGCAGCCUCUUGGAAGGGAGCCGCAUGGAUACCUGUCCCAUCCCUGUCCUUGGGCAUCCAGCCCCAGGAAGGGGCUUCAGGGCUCCCAAACCCCAGCUCACACCUCAGGUCUCCAUCUCCAGGACCCGAGAGCCUUGGCUGAGAUGGCAGACUUCAGGAUCUUGGCCAAGAGGAACCAGAUAAUAAGCCCUAGAAAAGCUGGCACAGCGGUUUCUGCUCACAUUGCAGGUCCCGUGUGUCAGCCUGCUUAGCUGGGCAGGGAUCCUGUCUGCCCAAAGCAGGGUGACACAGGGCCUGGGGCAUCGCCCCCGAGCCGGGACAGAGACCAUCCUUGGGUCCCGGUGCCUGCAAGGGAGACAAGUCUGCUGCUCUGAAUUGGCAGCUCCCUUCUCCUCCCGGCUCCUUCCGUCUCCAGGAAAGGAAGCCAAUUUCCUUUGCAAAGUAAUCUGAGCUCCAGGAGUUAAAAGUGCUAUUUAAAGAGCGAGGCGAUGCUGCCUGCCGUACGAGGAGCUCACGGUUUGGAGAAAGCUCUCCGCCUCCGUGUGUAAAAACUAGGCUAAUAAUGGUUUUCUGCCUCACGCAAGCUGGUGGGAAUUAAUUAAUUUUAAAAGCAGUUGGAAGCACAGCCACAACAUAGGUGCUAAUUUUUAUUUAUUAAUAUUUCAUGUUCGCAAUACAGGACUAAUUAUGUGCAUGGCAAAGAGUGCAUUUUCCAUGCUAUUAACUCAAUCUUAAAGGUUUAGAUAGCACUUACAUUUAUCUGUACCUCAAAAAAAAAAAAAAAAAAGCAUUGCAUGAGAUGAAAA
Oxyura jamaicensis (ruddy duck) is the source of this 4202-nucleotide long non-coding RNA. RefSeq lists it as uncharacterized. The record is from RefSeq and is a predicted model, not a curated record. NCBI's taxonomy places the organism in Eukaryota, Metazoa, Chordata, Aves, Anseriformes, Anatidae. The transcript has 6 exons.